GGAAACACCUGGACCUGGACCAAAGUCUACCACGAGCGGAGCAACCACGCCGAGCCAACAAUCGGGGACGCCUUCGAAAACAGGAGGCAGACGUACAAGACCGGCAACAGUUGGCUUACCCUCACACUCGGUAAGCCUUACUGAUCGUCGCAUGAUUUGCCCAUUCAACUCU
This 172-nucleotide long non-coding RNA is filed under the name Dermacentor andersoni. Its description in RNAcentral is "uncharacterized LOC126517608". The record is from RNAcentral. Lineage: Eukaryota; Metazoa; Arthropoda; Arachnida; Ixodida; Ixodidae.